AAUAAAGAGAUCCAGCAACGUCCAACGCAUCGAGAAACAAAUACGUUCACCUGUUUUCAUUGAGGACGAUUCUCAUGGUCAUUUUCCGGAUAUCGCGGACAGUGACAUGAUUCAUUCACGAUCGAUGUUUCGUAACUGGAAUUAUUGGUGAAAUUUCAGAGAGCGUGUUAAGUAUUCGCAAGUAUUCAAUGUCUUGUGAAAGGAAACUAACGCGGAACACAAUCUUCCUGUUCCCGAGGCUCAAGUCCGGUCACGUUCACGCUCGGCGACACAUUGAAGCGAAAACGAGAGCGAAAUAUCGAGGAAAGAUGGAAUGGAGAUCGUAGAGAAAAAUGAUAAGUAGGCCAGACCCGACCGCGACUGGAUAAAAUGAUAAAACUGGAGCAUAUUAUUAUUUUCAAAACUGUUCAAAAUUUUCCCAAUGCAGCCAUCGGUUGCUGUAGGUUGGCUUAAUGCAUGAGCAAGAUAUGACAUACGUGUUUCCUGAUCUCAUUUUCAAGGGACUGUAAACUUUAUAAUUAUCGAUGUUUAGGUAGACGAUCGUAAGAUGAACGCGGUAAAACAGCGAUCGAACAUCGCCGAGAGGAACAUUGGGGAUGUAAAGAGUCGGAAUGGUCGGUGCAUCGGUAAUUUUUGAGAUACAAGGAAAUACAACAUGAAAAAUAUCGAAAGCCAAUACAAUUAAAAGCUGAGAUUCAAAAGCCGAUUGCACUUGCCGCGAAUCGAUCUACAGUUUCCAAUGCACUUCGCUCCAAUGUUAUUUCGGCCUGAUUCGGUAACGAGCGAAACAGCCGAUGCAGCGAACGAUGUAGCGAUUGAAGAACGUUAGCGAGAUCAUUUUUCUCCCUCUAGCAGCGAGGCAUUAACUACUGUUCCUGCGCCAAUUACGCUGUGUCCUUUAUACUUGUAUGGAAAAACCAAAUGGAGAGAAUUUUCACAGUGUUAUCCUCUUUUUCCACCACUACGGUAGCGGGCGAAAGCUUAAGACGACUGCCUUGUUGAUGGAUCAUCGCGCUAUGUCAUACGUAGAUAUUAAAUAACCAACAGUUUGUAGUUGUCCUUGCAAUCACGUUUGUAUGUACACAGAAGACGAAAAUAUUAUUAUGGGAAGAAUUCGUCAGCCUAAGUGAACACGUAUGGGUUUGAACCCUACAGCCAGUGUAUUAAGCGACGCUGAAAAAUUGUAGAGAGAGCAGAUUAAAGUUGCAAGAACAAGAUUUGUUCAAGAUCUUGUAACAAGAUACGGGCUUGACACUUUAAGGACCAAAGAAUACAAAGUAAUGUGUGAAUGUGUUCGAUAUAAAUAAAGUAAUAACGUUAUUACUUUAUUAAGAUAGAAAAAGUGUAUGAGAAUAACAGAUGCGAUGUAGAAGCUCACUAAAGAUCAGAG
This 1390-nucleotide unclassified non-coding RNA is filed under the name Bombus terrestris (buff-tailed bumblebee). RNAcentral's name for it is "misc RNA ENSBTSG00005030080.1". Lineage: Eukaryota; Metazoa; Arthropoda; Insecta; Hymenoptera; Apidae. The record is from RNAcentral.